RNAcentral lists this ribosomal RNA (459 nucleotides) under uncultured bacterium. RNAcentral describes it as "partial 16S ribosomal RNA". It matches the Rfam family "Bacterial small subunit ribosomal RNA", at positions 338 to 795 of the family's 1533-position model. The record is from RNAcentral.
CCUACGUGAGGCAGCAGUGAGGAAUAUUGGUCAAUGGACGAGAGUCUGAACCAGCCAAGUAGCGUGAAGGAUGACUGCCCUAUGGGUUGUAAACUUCUUUUAUAAAGGAAUAAAACGAGGCACGUGUGCCUUUUUGCAUGUACUUUAUGAAUAAGGAUCGGCUAACUCCGUGCCAGCAGCCGCGGUAAUACGGAGGAUCCGAGCGUUAUCCGGAUUAUUGGGUUUAAAGGGAGCGUAGAUGGGUUGUUAAGUCAGUUGUGAAAGUUUGCGGCUCAACCGUAAAAUUGCAAUUGAUACUGGCAGUCUUGAGUACAGUUGAGGUAGGCGGAAUUCGUGGUGUAGCGGUGAAAUGCUUAGAUAUCACGAAGAACCCCGAUUGCGAAGGCAGCUUACUAAACUGUGACUGACAUUGAUGCUCGAAAGUGUGGGUAUCAAACAGGAUUAGAUACCCUUGUAGUC